Cherax quadricarinatus is the source of this 693-nucleotide non-coding RNA. The record is from RefSeq and is a predicted model, not a curated record. NCBI's taxonomy places the organism in Eukaryota, Metazoa, Arthropoda, Malacostraca, Decapoda, Parastacidae.
GAGGUUUGAGGCUUCAGGAGAGAUUUAUUGAAGGCCCUCCUGUUAACAUCUAUAUUGCAGAUGGUUCGGGUACUGGUAAUGGGCUUAGUGUACGGGAGUUAUACAACACACUAGGUGGCAAUAUCUUUCAUCGCAUGAUGCAUCAUCUCCUGAUUGGUCGACAAGUCAUCUUGAGAGGUUCAUCUACAAAAAUAAUAUCUGCCUUAAUUCAUUCAUUACAGCCAUUGCUCCCGAAGCACUGCUACAAGGCAAUACAAUUUUCUCCACAUUAUAUUGCUGGUACAUCCUGUAACAUACUGGCCUUCAGUCAUUGGUAAAUAUACCACAAGCUGUCUUAGAAACUGUAAUUUGUGCCUUAUUGAAAUAAUUUCCAAAAAAGAAAAUUCUGACAUACAAGAUACGUAUAAUAAAACAAAUUUGCCAAGAACUUCAUCCGUAAUAAAUUUUAAUGUAAAAAAUAAAGAGAUAGAGACUGCAGAUAAUAUCAAGCCAGGAAAUACAGAGGCAACUGAAGCAGAGGAUAUUGUUGAGAGCAUCAAGAAAUUUACGUUUAAGGUAAAGUGUUGCAUAGUUUUUUCAUAAAACUCCUGUAUGCAGUUUUGUGAUUUUUUGCAUGAUGUAUCAAAAGUUACAGUAAGAAAAUUAACUUUUUUACAUGCAAACAAAAUUAAAUGUUAAAACUGCAAGGGGUUA